This is a long non-coding RNA of Xenopus laevis (African clawed frog), 308 nucleotides long. RefSeq lists it as uncharacterized. NCBI's taxonomy places the organism in Eukaryota, Metazoa, Chordata, Amphibia, Anura, Pipidae. The transcript has 2 exons. The record is from RefSeq and is a predicted model, not a curated record.
CCCGCACGUUCCCUUGCCUCGGCAGAGCAGCAGAACACACAGCGGCGGCACAGCACUUAGCGGCACAACACACAGCGGCACAGCACACAGCGGCAGCCAUUCCUAGGGACGGAGAAGCACUUCUGGCAGAUACGCGGAGCUGUCCGACGUCUCCCGAACCCUGUGUGGGGCCGUCCUACGGCACAUAGCUCAACUGUAUCUCACUGCAGGCGGAUACCCUGAGAAAAAAGUGGAAGGAAAAAACAAUCAAAGUUGUUAUCUUGUUAGCAAUAAUAAAUGUAUCCAGUAAAUAAAAACUCGUAAACUCC